GAGGGGCAUCACGGAAAAGCUUGCUUUUCUGGUGGCGACCGGCGCACGGGUGCGGAACGCGUAUGGAACCUGCCCCUGUCAGGGGAAUAGCCCAGGGAAACUUGGAUUAAUGCCCCAUGGUAUCGUCAUAUCGCAUGAUAUGUUGAUUAAAGAUUUAUCGGACAGGGAUGGCCAUGCGUACCAUUAGUUAGUUGGUGGGGUAACGGCCCACCAAGGCAGCGAUGGUUAGGGGCCCUGAGAGGGGGAUCCCCCACACUGGUACUGAGACACGGACCAGACUCCUACGGGAGGCAGCAGUGAGGAAUAUUGGACAAUGGGCGGGAGCCUGAUCCAGCCAUGCCGCGUGCAGGAUGACGGCCCUAUGGGUUGUAAACUGCUUUUAUACGGGAAGAAACGCACCUACGGGUAGGUGUCUGACGGUACCGUAAGAAUAAGGACCGGCUAACUCCGUGCCAGCAGCCGCGGUAAUACGGAGGGUCCGAGCGUUAUCCGGAAUCAUUGGGUUUAAAGGGUCCGUAGGCGGGCCUGUAAGUCAGGGGUGAAAGUUUGUGGCUCAACCAUAAAAUUGCCUUUGAUACUGCAGGUCUUGAGUCAUGGUGGGGUCGCCGGAACAUGUGGUGUAGCGGUGAAAUGCAUAGAUAUCACAUAGAACACCGAUCGCGAAGGCAGGUGGCCAACCAUGUACUGACGCUGAUGGACGAAAGCGUGGGUAGCGAACGGGAUUAGAUACCCCGGUAGUCCACGCCGUAAACGAUGGAUACUAGCUGUGGGGACCUCGGUCUCCGUGGCCAAGCGAAAGU
This 800-nucleotide ribosomal RNA is filed under the name Allomuricauda sp. RNAcentral describes it as "bacterial SSU rRNA". It matches the Rfam family "Bacterial small subunit ribosomal RNA", at positions 64 to 858 of the family's 1533-position model. The record is from RNAcentral. Lineage: Bacteria; Pseudomonadati; Bacteroidota; Flavobacteriia; Flavobacteriales; Flavobacteriaceae.